ACGCGUGGAACCUUACCAGGUCUUGACAUCCCACUGACCGCUAUGGAGACAUAGCUUUCCCUUCGGGGACAGUGGUGACAGGUGGUGCAUGGUUGUCGUCAGCUCGUGUCGUGAGAUGUUGGGUUAAGUCCCGCAACGAGCGCAACCCUUGUCCUUAGUUGCCAUCAUUUAGUUGGGCACUCUAAGGAGACUGCCGAUGACAAAUCGGAGGAAGGUGGGGAUGACGUCAAAUCAUCAUGCCCCUUAUGACCUGGGCUACACACGUGCUACAAUGGACGGUACAAACGGUUGCGAAGUCGCGAGAUGGAGCUAAUCUGAUAAAACCGUUCUCAGUUCGGAUUGUAGGCUGCAACUCGCCUACAUGAAGCUGGAAUCGCUAGUAAUCGCGGAUCAGCAUGCCGCGGUGAAUACGUUCCCGGGCCUUGUACACACCGCCCGU
This 439-nucleotide ribosomal RNA is filed under the name uncultured bacterium. Its description in RNAcentral is "bacterial SSU rRNA". It matches the Rfam family "Bacterial small subunit ribosomal RNA", at positions 959 to 1397 of the family's 1533-position model. The record is from RNAcentral.